This 201-nucleotide non-coding RNA is filed under the name Dyadobacter sp. Lineage: Bacteria; Pseudomonadati; Bacteroidota; Cytophagia; Cytophagales; Spirosomataceae. The record is from RNAcentral.
CUACCUUUGCGACCGUUUGGUGCCCGUAGCAAUUUCCAUGUUGCUUUUCGUGGCUUAAUAGGGAAUUCCGUUAAAACCGGAAGCUGUCCCCGCAACUGUAAGUCUGUUCCAUUGACCCGAUCUUCGAAGCCACUGUUGAAAAACGGGAAGGCACCGGGCCAAAAGGCGAGCCAGGAGACCUGCCAGAUCAUUCGUGCUACA